GUCAGGAGUGAUGGUGCACACCUUUAGUCCCAGGUACUCAGGAGUUCUGAGCUGCAGUGGGCUAAGCUGUUUGGGUGUCUGUACUAUGCUCAGCAUUAAUAUGGUGAAUAUUCAGGAGCAGAAGGCCACCAGAUUGCCUGAGGAGGGGAGAACUGGCCCAGGUUGUAAACACAGCAUGUCAGAUUUCCUACGUUCAUUAAAAUAGGACUAGGCCUGUAAAUAUCCCCUGUUCUUCCAGCCUGGAUGAAAUGGGGU
This 255-nucleotide signal recognition particle RNA is filed under the name Phascolarctos cinereus (koala). RNAcentral's name for it is "Metazoan signal recognition particle RNA (ENSPCIG00000003602.2)". It matches the Rfam family "Metazoan signal recognition particle RNA". Rfam says of the family: The signal recognition particle (SRP) is a universally conserved ribonucleoprotein. Lineage: Eukaryota; Metazoa; Chordata; Mammalia; Diprotodontia; Phascolarctidae. The record is from RNAcentral.